This 460-nucleotide ribosomal RNA is filed under the name uncultured bacterium. RNAcentral's name for it is "partial 16S ribosomal RNA". It matches the Rfam family "Bacterial small subunit ribosomal RNA", at positions 338 to 795 of the family's 1533-position model. The record is from RNAcentral.
CCUACGGGAAGCAGCAGUGAGGAAUAUUGGUCAAUGGACGAGAGUCUGAACCAGCCAAGUAGCGUGAAGGAUGACUGCCCUAUGGGUUGUAAACUUCUUUUAUAUGGGAAUAAAAUGUUCCACGUGUGGGAUUUUGUAUGUACCAUAUGAAUAAGGAUCGGCUAACUCCGUGCCAGCAGCCGCGGUAAUACGGAGGGUCCGAGCGUUAUCCGGAUUUAUUGGGUUUAAAGGGAGCGUAGGUGGAUUGUUAAGUCAGUUGUGAAUGUUUGCGGCUCAACCGUAAAAUUGCAGUUGAAACUGGCAGUCUAGAGUACAGUAGAGGUGGGCGGAAUUCGUGGUGUAGCGGUGAAAUGCUUAGAUAUCACGAAGAACUCCGAUUGCGAAGGCAGGUCACUGGACUGCAACUGACACUGAGGCUCGAAAGUGUGGGUAUCAAACAGGAUUAGAUACCCGUGUAGUC